Molecule: ribosomal RNA, 584 nt
Filed under: Saccharomyces sp. 16-C2-P2A4
Lineage: Eukaryota; Fungi; Ascomycota; Saccharomycetes; Saccharomycetales; Saccharomycetaceae
Description: eukaryotic LSU rRNA
Rfam family: Eukaryotic large subunit ribosomal RNA
Source: RNAcentral
GAGGAAAAGAAACCAACCGGGAUUGCCUUAGUAACGGCGAGUGAAGCGGCAAAAGCUCAAAUUUGAAAUCUGGCACCUUCGGUGUCCGAGUUGUAAUUUGAAGAAGUAACUUUGGGGCUGGUCCUUGUCUAUGUUCCUUGGAACAGGACGUCAUAGAGGGUGAGAAUCCCGUGUGGCGAGGAUCCCAGUUCUUUGUAAAGUGCUUUCGACGAGUCGAGUUGUUUGGGAAUGCAGCUCUAAGUGGGUGGUAAAUUCCAUCUAAAGCUAAAUAUUGGCGAGAGACCGAUAGCGAACAAGUACAGUGAUGGAAAGAUGAAAAGAACUUUGAAAAGAGAGUGAAAAAGUACGUGAAAUUGUUGAAAGGGAAGGGCAUUUGAUCAGACAUGGUGUUUUGCGACCCUCGCUCCUUGUGGGUGGGGAUCUCGCAGCUCACUGGGCCAACAUCGGUUUUGGCGGCAGGAUAAAACUUUGGGAAUGUAACUUGUCUUCGGAGAAGUAUUAUAGCCCAAGGCAAUACUGCCAGCCGGGACCGAGGACUGCGACUUUUGUCAAGGAUGUUGGCAUAAUGGUUAUAUGCCGCCCGU